Molecule: ribosomal RNA, 440 nt
Filed under: uncultured bacterium
Lineage: Bacteria
Description: partial 16S ribosomal RNA
Rfam family: Bacterial small subunit ribosomal RNA
Source: RNAcentral
CCUACGGGGGACAGCAGUGGGGAAUAUUGCACAAUGGGGGGAACCCUGAUGCAGCGACGCCGCGUGAGUGAAGAAGUACUUCGGUAUGUAAAGCUCUAUCAGCAGGGAAGAAGAUGACGGUACCUGAAUAAGAAGCCCCGGCUAACUACGUGCCAGCAGCCGCGGUAAUACGGAGGGGGCAAGCGUUAUCCGGAUUUACUGGGUGUAAAGGGAGCGUAGACGGCAGGGCAAGUCUGGAGUGAAAGCCCGGGGCCCAACCCCGGGACUGCUUUUGAAACUGCCAUGCUAGAGUGCUGGAGUGGUAAGCGGAAUUCCUCGUGUAGCGGUGAAAUGCGUAGAUAUUAGGAGGAACCCCAGUGGCGACGGCGGCUUACUGGACUGUAACUGACGUUGAGGCUCGAAAGCGUGGGGAGCAAACAGGAUUAGAUACCCUUGUAGUC